RNAcentral lists this ribosomal RNA (776 nucleotides) under fungal sp. TF18CWW. RNAcentral describes it as "LSU rRNA". It matches the Rfam family "Eukaryotic large subunit ribosomal RNA", at positions 98 to 906 of the family's 3401-position model. Lineage: Eukaryota; Fungi. The record is from RNAcentral.
GCGGCAACAGCUCAAAUUUGAAAUCUGGCCCCAGGCCCGAGUUGUAAUUUGCAGAGGAUGUUUCUGGCGAGGUGCCUUCCGAGUUCCCUGGAACGGGACGCCAUAGAGGGUGAGAGCCCCGUACGGUUGGUCGCUAAGCCUCUGUGAAACUCCUUCGACGAGUCGAGUAGUUUGGGAAUGCUGCUCUAAAUGGGAGGUGUACGCCUUCUCAAGCUAAAUACCGGCUAGAGACCGAUAGCGCACAAGUAGAGUGAUCGAAAGAUGAAAAGCACUUUGAAAAGAGGGUUAAAUAGUACGUGAAAUUGUUGAAAGGGAAGCGCUCUUGACCAGACUUGCGCCGGUUGAUCAUCCACCGUUCUCGGUGGUGCACUCUGCCGGCUCAGGCCAGCAUCAGUUCGGCCCGGGGGAUAAAGGCUUCGGGAAUGUGGCUCUCUCCGGGGAGUGUUAUAGCCCGUUGCGUAAUACCCUGGGCCGGACUGAGGUUCGCGCAUCUGCAUGGAUGCUGGCGUAAUGGUCAUCAGUGACCCGUCUUGAAACACGGACCAAGGAGUCGUCUUCGUAUGCGAGUGUUCGGGUGUCAAACCCCUACGCGUAAUGAAAGUGAACGUAGGAGAGAGCUUCGGCGCAUCUCCGACCGAUCCUGAUGUUCUCGGAUGGAUUUGAGUAAGAGCAUACGGGGCCGGACCCGAAAGAAGGUGAACUAUGCCUGUAUAGGGUGAAGCCAGAGGAAACUCUGGUGGAGGCUCGCAGCGGUUCUGACGUGCAAAUCGAUCGUC